UAUCUCUGUAGAGUCUGCAUAUCAAUAAGCGGAGGAAAAGAAACUAACAAGGAUUCCCUUAGUAACGGCGAGUGAAGCGGGAAGAGCUCAAAUUUGAAAUCUUCAAGGUUCUACCUUGACGAAUUGUAGUUUAAAGAAGUGUUUUCUGUUAGAUGAGUAGCAAAAGUUCCUUGGAAUGGGACAUCAUAGAGGGUGAGAAUCCCGUAUUUGGUUAUUCAUUCUAGCUUUGCGAUACACUUUCAAAGAGUCGGAUUGUUUGGGAAUGCAGUCCAAAAUGGGUGGUAAAUUUCAUCUAAAGCUAAAUAUUGGCGAGAGACCGAUAGCGAACAAGUACCGUGAGGGAAAGAUGAAAAGAACUUUGAAAAGAGAGUUAAACAGUACGUGAAAUUGUCAAAAGGGAAGCGUUUGACACCAGUGUUGUUUUUCCGAAAAUCAAUUACGAAUGGCUUGAUUUUGUGUUGUAUUGACCUUAUCAGCUUUCUGCACUUUUUUCGAGUCUUUCUUAGUGCACUUUUCGGUUAACAAGUCAACAUCAAUUUCUUUUGUUGUAAAAGAGUAUUCGGAAGGUGGCUUUCUUUUCGGAGAAAGUGUUUAUAGCCCUAUACUUCUACAAUCGGAGAGAUUGAGGUCUGCAGCGUAGAUCCUUCGGGGUUAGAUACAUUUGUGCUAAGUUGUAGCUUUUCAUAGACAACUUGUUGACUAUGUUUAGUCAUGCGGCUUACUCGCUUAUGCUAUUUUACCUACGCUUAGGAUGUUGACUGAUAUGUAGUCGU
Molecule: ribosomal RNA, 773 nt
Filed under: uncultured Neocallimastigales
Lineage: Eukaryota; Fungi; Neocallimastigomycota; Neocallimastigomycetes; Neocallimastigales
Description: partial large subunit ribosomal RNA
Rfam family: Eukaryotic large subunit ribosomal RNA
Source: RNAcentral